This 72-nucleotide transfer RNA is filed under the name Camelus bactrianus (Bactrian camel). It matches the Rfam family "tRNA". From Rfam's summary of the family: Transfer RNA (tRNA) molecules are approximately 80 nucleotides in length. Their secondary structure includes four short double-helical elements and three loops (D, anti-codon, and T loops). RNAcentral also lists the same sequence under 2 other names. The record is from Rfam by way of RNAcentral. Lineage: Eukaryota; Metazoa; Chordata; Mammalia; Artiodactyla; Camelidae.
GUGAGUGUAGCUCAGUGGUAGAGCACUUGCUUAGCAGGCACAGGGUACUGGGUUCAAUCCCCAGUACCUCCA